Molecule: long non-coding RNA, 538 nt
Filed under: Mus spicilegus (steppe mouse)
Lineage: Eukaryota; Metazoa; Chordata; Mammalia; Rodentia; Muridae
Description: lncRNA (ENSMSIG00000032172.1)
Source: RNAcentral
UUUGCUUUUGUCAUUUCCUUUGUUUCUUAUUUUUGAUGUUGUUGUUCAUUUCUUUCUUCAGUGGCUCCUGAAAAUCGGCAUGUAGGCCAGUAAUAAUAGGCGGAAGAGGCAUAGCCUGAAUCUAUCCAAUCUGUUCUAUCAGAGUAUGUCCAAUACACAGAGCAUAUAGCAAAGAGCAUAUAAGUGCACAGAGUGGCAACAUUCAUUAAAGAGGAAGCAGAGAACAUUGAGAAGACUGAGAGACACAGGAGAAUUAAGAAGUAUCUAUGGCAGAUUUUUACUGUUCAAUUGUGAUUUUUAGCAUCAGAGUUGGACGUGCUGCAGCUAAUAAUGUGAUGAAAUAAGGUGGUUUAAAUAUUAUUAUAAACUGCUCUAUAAAAUAUAUUUAGAUGACUAUCUGUUAAUGGAUUGAAAACAGUAACAAGUUCAUAAAUCAUAUGAAAAGCAUCCUAUCCCCUUCAUUCAAGAUAUUUACUGGAUGUUAAAAAGGACUUGCCCAUCGAAUAAAAAGACAAAAAAUCAUUUGAUGUAUUCCUAA